This 861-nucleotide ribosomal RNA is filed under the name uncultured bacterium. Its description in RNAcentral is "bacterial SSU rRNA". It matches the Rfam family "Bacterial small subunit ribosomal RNA", at positions 32 to 887 of the family's 1533-position model. The record is from RNAcentral.
GACGCUGGCGGCAGGCCUAACACAUGCAAGUCGAACGGUAACAUUUCUAGCUUGCUAGAAGAUGACGAGUGGCGGACGGGUGAGUAAUGCUUGGGAACUUGCCUUUGCGAGGGGGAUAACAGUUGGAAACGACUGCUAAUACCGCAUAAUGUCUACGGACCAAAGGGGGGGCUUGUUCCUCCCGCGUGAAGAGAGGCCCAAGUGAGAUUAGCUAGUUGGUGGGGUAAAGGCUCACCAAGGCGACGAUCUCUAGCUGUUCUGAGAGGAAGAUCAGCCACACUGGAACUGAGACACGGUCCAGACUCCUACGGGAGGCAGCAGUGGGGAAUAUUGCACAAUGGGGGAAACCCUGAUGCAGCCAUGCCGCGUGUGUGAAGAAGGCCUUCGGGUUGUAAAGCACUUUCAGUUGUGAGGAAAAGAUAGUAGUUAAUACCUGCUAUCCGUGACGUUAACAACAGAAGAAGCACCGGCUAACUCCGUGCCAGCAGCCGCGGUAAUACGGAGGGUGCGAGCGUUAAUCGGAAUUACUGGGCGUAAAGCGCACGCAGGCGGUUUGUUAAGCUAGAUGUGAAAGCCCCGGGCUCAACCUGGGAUGGUCAUUUAGAACUGGCAGACUAGAGUCUUGGAGAGGGGAGUGGAAUUCCAGGUGUAGCGGUGAAAUGCGUAGAUAUCUGGAGGAACAUCAGUGGCGAAGGCGACUCCCUGGCCAAAGACUGACGCUCAUGUGCGAAAGUGUGGGUAGCGAACAGGAUUAGAUACCCUGGUAGUCCACACCGUAAACGCUGUCUACUAGCUGUGUGUCCCUUUAAGGCGUGCGUAGCGAAGCUAACGCGAUAAGUAGACCGCCUGGGGAGUACGGCC